This 787-nucleotide ribosomal RNA is filed under the name Salmonella enterica. RNAcentral describes it as "bacterial LSU rRNA". It matches the Rfam family "Bacterial large subunit ribosomal RNA", at positions 568 to 1229 of the family's 2925-position model. The record is from RNAcentral. RNAcentral also lists the same sequence under 1 other name. Lineage: Bacteria; Pseudomonadati; Pseudomonadota; Gammaproteobacteria; Enterobacterales; Enterobacteriaceae.
CUGAGGAUACGGUUAACGGAGCGAAAGCGACGUUCAACCGCAAAAGAAGCAGAGGGGGCUUAGUGGUGGGGUGACUGCGUACCUUUUGUAUAAUGGGUCAGCGACUUAUAUUCUGUAGCAAGGUUAACCGAAUAGGGGAGCCGGAGGGAAACCGAGUCUUAACCGGGCGUUAAGUUGCAGGGUAUAGACCCGAAACCCGGUGAUCUAGCCAUGGGCAGGUUGAAGGUUGGGUAACACUAACUGGAGGACCGAACCGACUAAUGUUGAAAAAUUAGCGGAUGACCUGUGGCUGGGGGUGAAAGGCCAAUCAAACCGGGAGAUAGCUGGUUCUCCCCGAAAGCUAUUUAGGUAGCGCCUCGUGAAUUCAUCUCCGGGGGUAGAGCACUGUUUCGGCUAGGGGGCCAUCCCGGCUUACCAACCCGAUGCAAACUGCGAAUACCGGAGAAUGUUAUCACGGGAGACACACGGCGGGUGCUAACGUCCGUCGUGAAGAGGGAAACAACCCAGACCGCCAGCUAAGGUCCCAAAGUCAUGGUUAAGUGGGAAACGAUGUGGGAAGGCCCAGACAGCCAGGAUGUUGGCUUAGAAGCAGCCAUCAUUUAAAGAAAGCGUAAUAGCUCACUGGUCGAGUCGGCCUGCGCGGAAGAUGUAACGGGGCUAAACCAUGCACCGAAGCUGCGGCAGCGAACGUAUCACUUAAAGCGAUUCAGCGGGUUACGAUUGACGGAGCGAAGCGACGUCAAAGCGUAUACAAAGUCGAGUCGGUUUAAGGAUACGUUCGUUGGGU